UAAAUAAAUUUUUUAUGGUUUAAAAAUUUUAUUUUAAGUUUAUUUUACAUGUAAAUUUUAGUGUUAUAUAUUAAUUAUUUGAAUAAUAUUUAAUUUUUUGCAGUAAUUAAUUUUAAAAAUUUAAGAAAUUAAGAUUUAGUAAUAUUUAAAUUAAUAACUAAUUUUGUGCCAGCAGUUGCGGUUAUACAAGAAAUUAAUUUAAAAUUUUUUAGUUAUUAAUAAUUAAUAAUUAAAUUAAUAAUUUAAAUUGAAAAUUAUUAGGUGAAAUUUUAAUUUUAUAAAAAAUUAUUUUAUGAUUAUGAAUUAGUAAAUUUUAUAAAAAACUAGGAUUAGAUACCCUAUUAUUAAUAAGUUAAAUUAAUAAUGCUAAAAUAGUAGAUAAUUUAUUGAAACUUAAAUAAUUUGGCGGUAUUUUAGUUUAUUUAGAGGAAUCUGUUUAAUAAUUGAUAAUCCACGAAUAAAUUUACUUAAUUUGAUAAUUUUGUAUAUCGUUGUUAAAAAAAUAUUUUUUAAUAAUAAUAAUAUUUAAAAAUUUAAAUUAUAAAUUAAAUCAGAUCAAGAUGCAGAUUAUAAUUAAGAAUAUAAUGGAUUACAAUAAAUUUAUUUAAAUUGGAGUUUAAUAUGAAAAGAUUAAAUGAAAUUGGAUUUAAAUGUAAUUUUAUAAAAUUUUAUAAAAUGAUUAAUAAUUAGAAUAUGUACAUAUUGCCCGUCGCUUUCAUUUAUAAAUUGGAAUAAGUCGUAACAAAGUAGGGGUACUGGAAAGUGUUUCUAGAAAGAU
RNAcentral lists this non-coding RNA (778 nucleotides) under Rhagastis binoculata. Lineage: Eukaryota; Metazoa; Arthropoda; Insecta; Lepidoptera; Sphingidae. The record is from RNAcentral.